Molecule: long non-coding RNA, 154 nt
Filed under: Dasypus novemcinctus (nine-banded armadillo)
Lineage: Eukaryota; Metazoa; Chordata; Mammalia; Cingulata; Dasypodidae
Description: lncRNA (ENSDNOG00000050845.1)
Source: RNAcentral
AAUAAGGGGAAGAGAAGGAGAAUAUUUUAAAAACUUUUUUUAGAACUAGCGCCUUGAGGAGACAGUUGGUGAGAAAAGGCUGGGAGACCAGAUAUAAAGGUUGUUAAAGAAAUGCUCUGUGAAAUGGUUACUAGAGAUCCUUGAAAAAGCCGUU